RNAcentral lists this ribosomal RNA (676 nucleotides) under uncultured fungus. Its description in RNAcentral is "eukaryotic LSU rRNA". The stretch from base 266 to 420 matches the Rfam family "5.8S ribosomal RNA". The record is from RNAcentral. Lineage: Eukaryota; Fungi.
CUUGGUCAUUUAGAGGNAGUAAAAGUCGUAACAAGGUUUCCGUAGGUGAACCUGCGGAAGGAUCAUUAUUGAAAUUAUAGGUGAGGGUUGUAGCUGGCCUCUCGGGGCAUGUGCACGCCCGAGCCCUUAAAUCCCACACACACCUGUGAACCUAUUGUAAGGGCCCGUAAAAAAGGCCUUUACGUCUUUAUCACCUACCCAAAGUCUCAUAGAAUGUAAACAUUAUGUCCUCGCCUUAAAAAAGCGUUGAUAAAAAAAAUUAUACAACUUUCAACAACGGAUCUCUUGGCUCUCGCAUCGAUGAAGAACGCAGCGAAAUGCGAUAAGUAAUGUGAAUUGCAGAUUUUCAGUGAAUCAUCGAAUCUUUGAACGCACCUUGCGCUCCUUGGUAUUCCGAGGAGCAUGCCUGUUUGAGUGUCAUUAAAUUCUCAAACUCUGAUUGAUUUGUUUCAAUCGGAGGUUUGGAUUUGGAGUGUGCCGGCGUCAAGUCGGCUCCUCUUGAAUGCAUCAGCGGAAUCCCAUUCAUUUCGGACGUCAGUGUGAUAAUCAUGUUGCGCUGUCUUUGCGAUCUUGAAAGCCCGCUCACAAUGGUCUUCGGACAAACCUCACAUAUCAUAUUUGACCUCAAAUCAGGUAGGACUACCCGCUGAACUUAAGCAUAUCAAUAAGCGGANGA